This 1528-nucleotide long non-coding RNA is filed under the name Manihot esculenta (cassava). RNAcentral describes it as "long non-coding RNA (MESC_LNC002450)". Lineage: Eukaryota; Viridiplantae; Streptophyta; Magnoliopsida; Malpighiales; Euphorbiaceae. The record is from RNAcentral.
AAAUUAAAACUUUUUAUUCAAAAUUAAAAUUUAGAAUGUGAAAACUCAUAAAGUUUAGAUAUUUUUUGAGCCGAUAGACCUUUAAAAUAAAAGUUGAUCUAUGCAUUAUAAAAAACCUAGAACUUGCAAAAUUGUGAUGAAACAUAGGCUAAAAGAGGAAAACAUGGGUGAAACCAGGUUGUGUGACUUAGUUCAUAAUUUCUACCGUUUCUCUGUAAAACUCAUUCUUUCAAACAAUAGAUUAUAUUAUAAUUAAAACUACGAAAAGACUUUGUGUAAAUCCAUCACAGUCGUGCUAUACACUAUUUACUUUUUUGAGUAAUGUCACGAACCACUAUCCUUCUUAUCUUUUUGCUUCCCAAACUUAAAAUUUGUCUCGUAUACUUUAACUUCCUUCAAGGUAAUUUGAUUCCAAAGGUUGCUGUUUUUAAGUCCCAUGGCUUGUGUUCUUGUAUUGCUUGCUUCAUAAUCCUAAUUUUUUUGUGUGGUUGGUAUUUCUUUUUUAUUUCUCAGAAAGUUAAAAGAUUUUUUUCUCAGUGAAAAAUGAUUAACUUACUUAUUUCGAUCUAGUUAAGUUAUUAAAUGGGAAUGACUUUGCAGAAAAUAAUACGGUGAUAGUGUAGGCAGGAACAACUGUUCCCAAAUUAAUUUUCUGUCAAGAAAGGUCCACUACAUGUGCCAUUUCAGGUACUCUCCACCCCCUUUUGUUUCCAUGUUCCUAAUAAUAUCCUGAAAAAGCAUCCCAUUUCUGUAAAGUUGAAGCAACUCACAGCUAAGAUCUUACAAAAAUAGAAAAAACAGCAUUAUUUUAGGAGUAAAUUAUAGCCUAUAAGUGGCAAAAUUUUCAUAAAAUUAAGCAAAACAUCAUUAAAAUGGGAGAAAAGACCAUUUGGGUCAAAGAAUGUGUAUGCAAAUCUAAAUAGGUUGAUGAAAUUAAAAACCACAUAACCUUUUUAGAAACUGCAGAAGUACAUAUAAUUUAUACACUUCUUUCUACUCAAUAUGUGCAAAAUAUGGCCGCCAUGUCCACCAUUGAGUCACAUGCGGAUGGAAGUUUUUUGCACAGAUCGAUCAUCACCUUUUAUAAAAGAUUCAUCCAAUUAUUUUAUGGCAACAUAUACAUGCUUAAUCUGAUUUGAGAAAAUUAGACCCAGUUGGAGUUUUCCCCUUUUACUUUGUGAACCCCGGAAAAGAAGAAGAAGAAGAAAGAAAAUGUCAUUAUCCUAUGACUCACUUAGGACAGAAGUAGAUGUACGUAGAAAAGGAAACGUAGUAUGUAAUGGACUUGGACUAAAACGUUAACAUACUAAAACAGAUAUAAGCGGCAAGAAGCAAGAAAACUUAGCAGAAAAAGGAGAAAAUACAAGUUAAGGAAGAAGAAGAGAGAGGCUGUGAGGAAGAAGCAGUUGGUUGGGAUUUUAUAAAGGGUUGUACAAAGCUUGCAGCUAGGGUUUCGGGCAGUAGGCGGGCUGUCAUCCAUGAGGUAGAUGCUAAGGGCAGUGCUGGUUUGGCUGCCCAACUAUUUAAA